CUUCCAUUGUAAAUCUGAUUCCGUGCUGUCGUUGUCUUCUGUUUGGUUCUUAAGAUGAUUAUUAAUUAUUUAUUUUUUUUGUUUUACUUGAUUGCCUAUGAUAUCUUUCUUAAAACGACAAAACCUUGAACGAUGUUCUUGAUCUAGUAUGUCUUCUCGGGGACUUCGUUCCCCAUGGAAAAGGGAAGAGGGGAUUCCUGAAGGAUUGGUUGCUUUUCGUAAUUUGUGCAUAUGUUAUUGUCGAAGACUUCGUCUUUUGACAAUUUUGGAGAUUUUUUUUAUUCUUUUUGGCGCUAAAAUAAGUGUCAGUUGGGCAGAAAUGGCAAACUUAAAACUGUCAUGGAAACAGUGCACUUCCUAUUUAUCCUAGGUUGAUUUCCAGAUUUAAUUUUUUGAUUGCUCAUAAACUUGAAAGAUUGGACUUACUCCGAGUAUGCGCAUCUCUCUCUGUGCAUCUAAUAUAAUGCCGGGUCACUGUUCUUCCUGGACUGGAGUGGUUUUGCUUCUUUCCUUGGGCUCUUCUGCAAUUGGCUUGGAAGAGAAAGAAGGACACCUGAGUCUAGGGCUUUUUUUAUUUUAGUCAUAUAGUUCGUUGAUGGUCUUCUAAUAAUUUUAGAAGUCAUUUCUAUGCCAUUUGGAGCCAAUAUAGGUGUUCAAUGAGGUUGAGAUAGUAAAAAUAAAUUGGUCAUGACGGGGACAUAUUAUGUCCCAUCGACAUGUUCAGGAUUCUUAUUCAAGAAUUAUGAAUUUUUCAAGGCAAAACUAGUUGUAAGACCGAACAAACUCUUCAUGAGGAAGUUGAGGAAUAUACGAUGCAGAUCCAGUUUGACUAUCCAUACCAUUGAACUUUUUUAGCAUCUGACUUUUGGGCAUGAGAUAGAGUUAGAUAUGGUUAUCAACCAUAACCGUGCUAUUUUCUCCAAGCUAGAUUGUAUUGGAAUGUUAUGGUGGCCAAGAAAUGCAUUGUUACUAAGCCUAAACAUGCUUUGCAAUUUACAUAAUGUCUAGAAUUAGGCGAUCAAGAGUUCCUCUAUAAAGUGUCGUAUAGCUUUGCACAAUUGAUUUCAUUUGUUAUUUCUUUUGGUCAAUAGGGUAAGCGCAGACAAUCCUAUCAUUAAUUGGCGACUACAUACUUUGGUUGGGAGAUAGAAUUCUUUAGGGAAAAGGCUUUUGGGGUAAGGUAGAUUAUAAAAAGAAUGUCAAAGUGAAAUAGCUUCUAUUGAAUGUCUUCAGGGGUUGUCUGUAGACUGUAGAUGGUGAGCUUUGGACAAUGGUGUUGCUCUUCAUCCUCUAGUAUUGAUGGCAAGAGAAGCAAUUUCAAGGAAGAGUGGUUGUGCAUUGGGAUGUGGAUGUUGACGUCCCCCACCAACCAGUGUCGCAUGCUUCUCUUUUGUGUUUGUUUAGACGAGUUGUUGUCUGGGUGUAGGCAAGGUCUGCCAUACCAACUCAUAUGUCCCAUGCUGAUUAUACCAUAUUGUACUAGUACAGUACCAAGGGUUGGUUCAGUAUAUGAGUUGAAUUGGUCCAAACUGGUUUGAAUCAAAUGUAGCCAUCUCAUACUCUCCGGAACUGACCCAUAUCAUCCAAUUUCGGGCAGUACCGUAGUUGGGAGAGAAAAAAGUGCUGAGAGUUUGUCUCAAUAUGAGGUACAUACUAUAUUGUAUCGAUCAUAGUACCAAACUGAUAACGUGAAGGUAUGGUUUUGGGUAUCAGUUCUGCGGACCAUUUGUGUGGGCCUUUGCAGGAUGCACUCUGUUUCUCUGGGCUAGGCUUUGGUGUCUUGCUCCACUUGAUUGAUAGUUUCUGUCAUGGGUUGUUAUGUUGCCCCAUGUAUGUGGACUUGUGCUUGUGUCCUUUAUGGUUGGGUGGUUGGUAGCUGGGCUCUGCCCUCUCCAGCUACUUGGCCUUGGCCUGUGCUCAAGGGCAGUGAGGGAGGCCUUGGCAUGUACUAGGGGCCAUUCGGGCCAUUGUUCAAAUCCAAAAAUAAACCAAAGAAAAAAUGAAAAUAGGUCUAAUGAAAAUUUUAAACCAAGAAAACAAAAUAUCAUUAUUUACUUUUAUUUUUUUAGCAUAGUUCUUCAUGACAAUUAUUUAAGCUGACUGUUACCCUUAGAUUAUGUACCCUGUUUUUAGCCCCUUUUAGGGUCCUUGGUCAGUUUAAUUGCCACUUGGUUGAUUGAAGUGACUACUUUUGACAUUGAGUGGGCAACUUUCAUUGAAGUGCUUUAUACUCCCUUCUUUUCAAGGAGAUCUAGACUGGCAAGUAUGAAAUCUAUAUUAACUGAUAAGGAAGAAAAUGAUGAAGUUGAGUUCUUCAGAUGUUCUUCCUAAUUUGUCCCUUGAUUAUAUGUCAUUUCUAUUUUGUUGUACUGUUUCUGAAACAAUAUCGAAGUCGUGCUUCACUCUAAUGGCAAUUUGAUGUGUAUCUGAUCUAGUUGACUGGAAGACUUGAAAUUGAUUCAUGGUGAAAACAUGGCUGUUCUUGCAGCAAAAAAAAAACAUGGCUGUUCAUAGUGGAAUCAAAAUUUUCUACAUAAAAUCUGAAAAAUAUGCAUGCCUCUACCUUAUUUUUAGAUCUGAAGUAAAUUGUUGAUCUUUUAGCCCAUUGCAAGAUCGAUAUCUGUAUUAAAUUGGUUUCAGAAGGAAAUGUUCGGUGUGGAAGCACAUAUUGGAUAUCUCAAGAAGAAGAAUGACUUACUUUCAGGCAUCGAGUGAAGAAACUAUUGAAGAUUUGAGCAUGGGCAACCUGUUUGCCUUUUCAUCACAUAGAAGAUGACAUGAGGACUUAAGAAUUGACCAUCCAAAGAUCCGUUGAUGAGAGGUCACAAAAUCCCUUCAAUCAAAUGUUGAUUUUGCAGUUUGGUUGGUGAAAGGUCUACCUAUGAAGUCUGCAAGCACCUAUCACAAGGUCUACUUGUUGGUUUGGAUGUACAAUUUAUGUAUCGUGUGAUCACAUCUUCCAAGACUAAAUUAGCCUUGCCUAAAGUUGAUCAGAUCUGUCAUAUUAUCAGAUUCAGAAUAACUAGUACAUCUAUUUGCCAUAUCAUCUGCAAGGGAGAAAAGAAAAGUUAUUUUGGAUGAUGCCAUGUGAUUUUGCCAAUCCAAUAGCAGAGCAUAAAAUAAGGGACGAUUUUUCGAGAUGAGAUCCAUGGAGUAGAAACAAGUUGACAUCCUAGGUUUUGAAAUGGUUUUGACUAGAUAAUUUUAGGGUCACUUUUUUCUGCUUUGUAGCUGUCCUUGGCUCCAAGUUUAUGAACCUUACAUGUUUCUUUAUGUGAUGAAAAGAAAAGGUUUUGCAAGCUAGGAGCUGGGGGAUUAAUUGUAAGUUUACAUUUGCUUGAUGCUCAAAUGUUUUGGGAUUAGAAAUUUAUUGUAGUCUGUAAGUUGUGGAGGUAAUAGCCUGUCCAAGUCAACCAAGACUAGGAUAAUCAGUGUUCCAAUGACCUAGCCGAAAUCAACCAUGUUGACCUGCCUAACCUGCAACCCGAGAGCCUUGGCAAGUCGGAUCGGUAAUGACCGAAAUUUGGAGAAAAUUCCCGACGGGUCGACCUGGUUGACCUGCCCCGACCCGCAACCUAAGAGCCUUGAUGUGUCGGAUCAGUAACCGACCUGGAAUUUGGAAAGAACAAUAUUGGGGUAGAACGGUUUGAACCAUUUGACCCAGCCGUGUUAAAUGGUUGGGUAGUUUGACCAAUCUUGUCGAAUGGUUAACCAUUCGACCCAGCUGGGUCAACGCGGUUUGACUCAUUCAGGGUCUGGAUAAAAAGCCUUAAAAAGAAAACUAAAGCUUUAACAUAGCAGCCCCUCUCCAGCCACCAGGAUACUUUCACUGUCUUAUUAUAAGAAUUUAUUAUACCUAUAUAUUUUUUAAUUUACUGUGUUACAAUAUUUAUUUAUUUAUUUUCUGUAUGAUGUUAUGAUCAUUAGGUAGAACUUGCAAUCAACCUGUGGUCAAAUCGCUGACCUAUGACCUGGCAACCAAAAUGGGCUUUUUCCAGGUCAACGGGUUUUGAAUAUUGGUGAUAACUACAUGAAGGGGUCACUAUCACCAUGGUUUUAGAUGAGAAGAAUUCUGUGUUCCCCUUUCUAUGAUCACAGCCUAGAGGUAUAUGGGCAAUGGGAUGAUUGAGCACAAGAAGAUAGAGAUAGUAGAAGAGUGAGACAGAGAAGAGAAAGGAAAAGAAAGAAGAAACAAGAAGGAAAUUAUGAGAAAGAAAAGUGGAACUACUGCCAGGGCUGACUCUGGCUGGACCUCCUUCUCUCUGAUCUCGCAUCAUAUUGUCCUUUCAUGUCUUCCAUAUCUGUCUGGGGUUUAUGUAAAUUCUCAUUUGCUAAUCGACUUGAUUUUGGGGUUUGGAAAACAAGAGUUGAACUGAAAUGUACAUCAUUUCAUAAAGGGCAGAGUGACUUGCUAGAUUUCA
Phoenix dactylifera (date palm) is the source of this 4421-nucleotide non-coding RNA. The record is from RefSeq and is a predicted model, not a curated record. NCBI's taxonomy places the organism in Eukaryota, Viridiplantae, Streptophyta, Magnoliopsida, Arecales, Arecaceae.